Molecule: unclassified non-coding RNA, 583 nt
Filed under: uncultured Fusarium
Lineage: Eukaryota; Fungi; Ascomycota; Sordariomycetes; Hypocreales; Nectriaceae
Description: sequence contains 18S rRNA gene, ITS1, 5.8S rRNA gene, ITS2 and 28S rRNA gene
Source: RNAcentral
UCCUCCGCUUAUUGAUAUGCUUAAGUUCAGCGGGUAUUCCUACCUGAUCCGAGGUCAACAUUCAGAAGUUGGGGUUUAACGGCGUGGCCGCGACGAUUACCAGUAACGAUAUGUAAAUUACUACGCUAUGGAAGCUCGACGUGACCGCCAAUGUAUUUGGGGAGUACAGCAGGACUGCAGCUCCCAACACCAAGCUGGGCUUGAGGGUUGAAAUGACGCUCGAACAGGCAUGCCCGCCAGAAUACUGGCGGGCGCAAUGUGCGUUCAAAGAUUCGAUGAUUCACUGAAUUCUGCAAUUCACAUUACUUAUCGCAUUUUGCUGCGUUCUUCAUCGAUGCCAGAACCAAGAGAUCCGUUGUUGAAAGUUUUGAUUUAUUUGUUUUUUAUACUCAGAAGUUCCACUAAAAACAGAGUUUAGGGUUCCUGCGGCGGGCCGUCCCUUUUUACGGGGCGCGGGCUGAUCCGCCGAGGCAACAUAAGGUAUGUUCACAGGGGUUUGGGAGUUGUAAACUCGGUAAUGAUCCCUCCGCUGGUUCACCAACGGAGACCUUGUUACGACUUUUACUUCCUCUAAAUGACCAAG